UGCAGUCGAGCGAACAGAUAAGGAGCUUGCUCCUUUGACGUUAGCGGCGGACGGGUGAGUAACACGUGGGUAACCUACCUAUAAGACUGGGAUAACUUCGGGAAACCGGAGCUAAUACCGGAUAACAUUUGGAACCGCAUGGUUCUAAAGUGAAAGAUGGUUUUGCUAUCACUUAUAGAUGGACCCGCGCCGUAUUAGCUAGUUGGUAAGGUAACGGCUUACCAAGGCAACGAUACGUAGCCGACCUGAGAGGGUGAUCGGCCACACUGGAACUGAGACACGGUCCAGACUCCUACGGGAGGCAGCAGUAGGGAAUCUUCCGCAAUGGGCGAAAGCCUGACGGAGCAACGCCGCGUGAGUGAUGAAGGGUUUCGGCUCGUAAAACUCUGUUAUUAGGGAAGAACAAAUGUGUAAGUAACUGUGCACAUCUUGACGGUACCUAAUCAGAAAGCCACGGCUAACUACGUGCCAGCAGCCGCGGUAAUACGUAGGUGGCAAGCGUUAUCCGGAAUUAUUGGGCGUAAAGCGCGCGUAGGCGGUUUCUUAAGUCUGAUGUGAAAGCCCACGGCUCAACCGUGGAGGGUCAUUGGAAACUGGGAAACUUGAGUGCAGAAGAGGAAAGUGGAAUUCCAUGUGUAGCGGUGAAAUGCGCAGAGAUAUGGAG
RNAcentral lists this ribosomal RNA (664 nucleotides) under Staphylococcus sp. RNAcentral's name for it is "bacterial SSU rRNA". It matches the Rfam family "Bacterial small subunit ribosomal RNA", at positions 56 to 703 of the family's 1533-position model. Lineage: Bacteria; Bacillati; Bacillota; Bacilli; Caryophanales; Staphylococcaceae. The record is from RNAcentral.